CCUACGUGAGGCAGCAGUGAGGAAUAUUGGUCAAUGGGCGCGAGCCUGAACCAGCCAAGUAGCGUGAAGGAUGACUGCCCUACGGGUUGUAAACUUCUUUUAUAAAGGAAUAAAGUGAGGCACGUGUGCCUUUUUGUAUGUACUUUAUGAAUAAGGAUCGGCUAACUCCGUGCCAGCAGCCGCGGUAAUACGGAGGAUCCGAGCGUUAUCCGGAUUUAUUGGGUUUAAAGGGAGCGUAGAUGGGUUGUUAAGUCAGGUGUGAAAGUUUGCGGCUCAACCGUAAAAUUGCAAUUGAUACUGGCAGUCUUGAGUACAGGUGAGGUAGGCGGAAUGCGUGGUGUAGCGGUGAAAUGCUUAGAUAUCACGAUGAACUCCGAUUGCGAAGGCAGCUUACUAAACUGCCACUGACAUUGAUGCUCGAAAGUGUGGGUAUCAAACAGGAUUAGAUACCCUUGUAGUC
RNAcentral lists this ribosomal RNA (460 nucleotides) under uncultured bacterium. Its description in RNAcentral is "partial 16S ribosomal RNA". It matches the Rfam family "Bacterial small subunit ribosomal RNA", at positions 338 to 795 of the family's 1533-position model. The record is from RNAcentral.